Long non-coding RNA from Phascolarctos cinereus (koala), 489 nucleotides. RefSeq lists it as uncharacterized. The record is from RefSeq and is a predicted model, not a curated record. NCBI's taxonomy places the organism in Eukaryota, Metazoa, Chordata, Mammalia, Diprotodontia, Phascolarctidae.
UUAUUAAAUAGAAUUUCUAAUCAUUGGAAAAUAGUCAACUUUUGAAAAUUCAAAGACGUUUCUCAUGUGUUCCACCAAAAUUUAUGGUUCUAAUUCUAGAAGGACAAAAUAAUUGGGUUAUAGUAUAUGUGUCAUGUAAGUUUUUUCUUUCUAAAAUAAGUAAUAUCUUUUUUCCCCAGGUGGACUUAGUCACAGGUUUAGCAAUAGAAGAAGCCUGUUAUGCUCAGACUAUUCCAACCAAAGACAGACUUGAAGGUCUUCUGGCUUUUAAAGAAAAAAGGCCCCCUCGUUACAAAGGAGAAUAAAACACAUAGAAGCUUUGUCAUUCAUAUGUGCUCUCCCUACUUCUAGAAGUACCUUUGUGGUGUAUCUUGAGGCAAAUGGAUUUAUAACCACCAAAAUGAAAAGCAAGCUACUCAUAGAAUGCAUUAAACAUCUGGAAUGUGCUCAACCAUGUACUUCAUUAAAGCACAUACACUGUUACAUUCA